CAGCAGCCGCGGGAAUACGUAGGUCCCGAGCGUUGUCCGGAUUUAUUGGGCGUAAAGGGAGCGCAGGCGGGCAUGUAAGUCUUUCUUAAAAGUUCGGGGCUCAACCCCGUGAUGGGAAAGAAACUACAUGUCUUGAGUACAGGAGAGGAAAGCGGAAUUCCCAGUGUAGCGGUGAAAUGCGUAGAUAUUGGGAGGAACACCAGUGGCGAAGGCGGCUUUCUGGACUGCAACUGACGCUGAGGCUCGAAAGCCAGGGGAGCGAACGGGAUUAGAUACCCCUGUAGUCCCUGUCUCUUAUACA
This 301-nucleotide ribosomal RNA is filed under the name uncultured bacterium. Its description in RNAcentral is "partial 16S ribosomal RNA". It matches the Rfam family "Bacterial small subunit ribosomal RNA", at positions 509 to 809 of the family's 1533-position model. The record is from RNAcentral.